UACGUAGGGUGCGAGCGUUGUCCGGAAUUAUUGGGCGUAAAGAGCUCGUAGGCGGCCACUCAAGUCGAAUGUGAAACCUCGAGGCUUAACCUCGAGCCUGCAUUCGAUACUGGGCGGCUAGAGUCUGGUAGGGGGAUCUGGAAUUCCUGGUGUAGCGGUGGAAUGCGCAGAUAUCGGGAGGAACACCGAUGGCGAAGGCAGCACUCUGGGCCGGUACUGACGCUGAGGUGCGAAAGCGUGGGGAGCAAACAGG
RNAcentral lists this ribosomal RNA (253 nucleotides) under uncultured bacterium. RNAcentral's name for it is "partial 16S ribosomal RNA". It matches the Rfam family "Bacterial small subunit ribosomal RNA", at positions 524 to 776 of the family's 1533-position model. The record is from RNAcentral.